CUACGGGGGGCAGCCGUGAGGAAUAUUGCACAAUGGGGGGAACCCUGAUGCAGCAACGCCGCGUGGAGGAUGACGCAUUUCGGUGUGUAAACUCCUUUUAUAUGUCAAGAAAAUGACGGUAGCAUAUGAAUAAGCACCGGCUAACUCCGUGCCAGCAGGCCGCGGUAAUACGGAGGGUGCAAGCGUUACUCGGAAUCACUGGGCGUAAAGGACGCGUAGGCGGGUUGGAAAGUCAGGUGUGAAAUCCUACAGCUUAACUGUAGAACUGCACUUGAAACUUCUAAUCUAGAGUAUGGGAGGGGGAGAUGGAAUUAGUGGUGUAGGGGUAAAAUCCGUAGAUAUCACUAGGAAUACCUAAAGCGAAGGCGAUCUCCUGGAACAUUACUGACGCUAAGGCGUGAAAGCGUGGGGAGCAAACAGGAUUAGAUACCCGGGUAGUC
Molecule: ribosomal RNA, 440 nt
Filed under: uncultured bacterium
Lineage: Bacteria
Description: partial 16S ribosomal RNA
Rfam family: Bacterial small subunit ribosomal RNA
Source: RNAcentral